Molecule: signal recognition particle RNA, 296 nt
Filed under: Propithecus coquereli (Coquerel's sifaka)
Lineage: Eukaryota; Metazoa; Chordata; Mammalia; Primates; Indriidae
Description: Metazoan signal recognition particle RNA (ENSPCOG00000002806.1)
Rfam family: Metazoan signal recognition particle RNA
About the family: The signal recognition particle (SRP) is a universally conserved ribonucleoprotein. It is involved in the co-translational targeting of proteins to membranes. The eukaryotic SRP consists of a 300-nucleotide 7S RNA and six proteins: SRPs 72, 68, 54, 19, 14, and 9.
Source: RNAcentral
GCUGAGCACAGUGGCAAGCACCUGUCUCUCAGCUACUCGUGAGGCUGAGACAGGAGGAUGGCUUGAGCCCAGGGGUUCUGGGCUGUAGUGCACUAUGCCAAUCAGAUGUCUGCACUAAGUUUGGCAUCAAUAUGGUGAUCUCCUUUGGGUGGGGAGCCACCAGGUUGCCUAAGGAGGGGUGAACCACCCCAUCAGAAGUGGAGCAGGUCAAAACUGCUGUGCUGAUCAGUAGUGGGAUUAUGCCUGUGAAUAGCCAAUACACUACAGCCUGGACAACAUAGCAAGACCCCAUCUCU